AGCAGAGCGGAGGAAGGAGAAUCUGUUAAUUGGCUGACUUAACGGAAAUCUGUGAAUUAUUCGUCCAACAGGCGUUCAUUAAGCACCUACCCUGUGCCGGCGCUGACGAUACACCAGUGAAUGAAACUACAGGUCCUGGCUCUCAACCCUCAACUGGCGUUGAACCGUCUUUCCUAGUCCCAGGAACUUCAGCAUCUAGCACAGUGCCUUUGUUGGAUACAGUGAGAUUAUGACGUUCUUCCAAUUAAGAGGUGGACAUAUGUUCCUGUUUUAUGGCAGACCAAAUCUGGUAUAAGAGACAUUGAGCGACGACUGAGACUAGAUCAUAAAAGACAAUACAGCUUCUGCCAGGUUCUCUUGGAACACAUGUCCUUGGAACCCAGCUUCCAUGCUGCAAGGAAGCCCAAGCUACCCUAUGCAGUGAACCAUGUGGAGAGAGUAUGUGCAGAUGUUCCAGACAACAGCUCAGCCGAGAUCAAAACUGAUUACCAGGAAAAUUCAGGAGUGAAGACACUUCUAGAUGAUUUCAAGCCCAGAGGUUGAGUCAUCUCCAGCUGAGGCUGCAGACUUCAUGGAGCCACUGUACUUUUUUUGAAUUUCUGACCCAGAGGAUCUGUGAGCAUAAUAAAAUUGCAAAGGCAAGCUCCCUGGUCCAGUGGUAAUGUGCUUCUCAAGAGAAGCCAGAUCCCACAUGACAAAUGCAGUUUUAAUUUCUGGCCCCACACCAGCCAUAAGUGUGACAAGCUGAAGGACUGGAGGGAGGGGAUUGUGGCAUGGUCAGA
Long non-coding RNA from Tupaia belangeri chinensis (Chinese tree shrew), 782 nucleotides. RefSeq lists it as uncharacterized. Lineage: Eukaryota; Metazoa; Chordata; Mammalia; Scandentia; Tupaiidae. The record is from RefSeq and is a predicted model, not a curated record. The transcript is spliced from 3 exons.